Molecule: ribosomal RNA, 1518 nt
Filed under: Triticum aestivum (bread wheat)
Lineage: Eukaryota; Viridiplantae; Streptophyta; Magnoliopsida; Poales; Poaceae
Description: partial small subunit ribosomal RNA
Source: RNAcentral
AUGGCACCGUCCUACGACAAGACCAUCGCCACGGCGGCCUCGCUGGCGGCCUCCCUGAUGCUCGUCCGCAGCCUGGCGAGCGAGCUGCUGCCGUCCGAGGUGCGCGACGCGCUCUCCGCAGCCCUCAACAGCCUGCGCUCCCGCAUGACGUGGCAGCACACCAUCGUCAUCGAGGAGACGGAGGGGUGGUCGGGCAACCGCGUCUACGGCGCCGUCAAGGCCUACCUCGCCACGCGCAUCAACGCCAACAUCGACAUGCAGCGCCUACGCGUCAGCAGCACCGAGGAGGACGCCAAGAAGAUGGUCGUUAGCAUGGAGGCGGGGGAGGAGAUGGUGGAUUUGUACGAGGGGGUCGAGUUCAGGUGGUUCCUCGUGACCCGGGAGGUGAAGGGGGACCUGAACAACGGCGGCGGCGGGGCACGGGAGAUCAGGUCAUAUGAGGUGCGCUUCCACAAGAGGCACAAGGAGAAGGCCCUGAAAGAGUACCUCCCGUUCAUCGUCGCCACCGCCAAGGCCAUCAAGGACCAGGAGAGGAGCCUCAGCAUCUACAUGAACGAGUACGGCGACGAGUGGUCCCCCAUCGACCUCCAGCACCCCUCCACGUUCGACACCCUCGCCAUGGACCAGAAGCAGAAACAGUCAAUUGUGGACGACCUCGACCGGUUCAUCAAGAGGAAGGACUACUACAGGAGGAUUGGCAAGGCGUGGAAGCGCGGGUACCUGCUGUACGGCCCGCCGGGCACCGGCAAGUCCAGCCUCAUCGCCGCCAUCGCCAACCACCUCAGGUUCAACAUUUACGACCUCGAGCUCACCGGGGUCGACUCCAACUCCGACCUCAGGAGGCUUCUCGUCGGGAUGACCAACCGGUCCAUUCUCGUGGUCGAGGACAUCGACUGCACCAUCGAACUGAAGCAGCGCGAGGAAGAUGACAAGGAGCAUGCCAAGUCCAAUUCUACAGAAAAGAAGAAGGCAGAAGACAAGGUCACAUUGUCUGGGCUGCUCAAUUUUGUAGAUGGCUUGUGGUCGACAAGUGGGGAGGAAAGGAUCCUCAUCUUCACGACCAAUUACAAGGAGCGUCUCGACCCAGCACUUCUGCGGCCUGGCAGGAUGGACAUGCACAUCCACAUGGGGUACUGCACCACAGAGGCCUUCCGGAUCCUUGCCAAUAACUACCAUUCCAUUGACUACCAUGUCACCUAUCCGGAGAUCGAGGCGCUGAUCGAGGAGGUGACGGUGACGCCUGCAGAGGUCGCCGAGGUUCUGAUGAGGAACGACAACACUGAUGUUGCGCUCCAUGAUCUUGUCGAGCUCCUGAAGUUAAAGAAGAAAGAUGCCAUUGAGAUCGAAGGUAAGCAGGCAGAGGAGAAGAAAGACGCCAAUGAGAUCAAGACCCAGAGUAUGCAGGUGGACGAGAAGAAAAUUGUUGAUGAGAUCAAGACUGAAAGUGUGCAGGUGGAGAAGAAAGAUGACAAAAAGGUAGUGGUGAAGAAUGAUUUCACAGAAAACGGAAGCGGCUAG